This 413-nucleotide ribosomal RNA is filed under the name Pseudomonas sp. RS22. Its description in RNAcentral is "bacterial SSU rRNA". It matches the Rfam family "Bacterial small subunit ribosomal RNA", at positions 105 to 514 of the family's 1533-position model. The record is from RNAcentral. Lineage: Bacteria; Pseudomonadati; Pseudomonadota; Gammaproteobacteria; Pseudomonadales; Pseudomonadaceae.
GGUGAGUAAUGCCUAGGAAUCUGCCUGAUAGUGGGGGACAACGUUUCGAAAGGAACGCUAAUACCGCAUACGUCCUACGGGAGAAAGCAGGGGACCUUCGGGCCUUGCGCUAUCAGAUGAGCCUAGGUCGGAUUAGCUAGUUGGUGAGGUAAUAGGCUCACCAAGGCGACGAUCCGUAACUGGUCUGAGAGGAUGAUCAGUCACACUGGAACUGAGACACGGUCCAGACUCCUACGGGAGGCAGCAGUGGGGAAUAUUGGACAAUGGGCGAAAGCCUGAUCCAGCCAUGCCGCGUGUGUGAAGAAGGUCUUCGGAUUGUAAAGCACUUUAAGUUGGGAGGAAGGGCAUUAACCUAAUACGUAGUGUUUUGACGUUACCGACAGAAUAAGCACCGGCUAACUUCGUGNCAGCAA